Non-coding RNA from Poecilia reticulata (guppy), 1297 nucleotides. Lineage: Eukaryota; Metazoa; Chordata; Actinopteri; Cyprinodontiformes; Poeciliidae. The record is from RefSeq and is a predicted model, not a curated record.
ACGUUCAUUUCUGCUCUUCCACGGACGCCAUAGAAAAGGAAGUGUGCAACAGUGACGUGCAUUUCAGCACAGCUGCACCUUCUGCACGGAGCUUGGAGCGACUUUACAUAAGGGCCUUCAUAGGGUUGAAGAGUUACGGCUUUCAACUGUCUCUCAACAUCGGCUGACAUCAUUUGCUUAAACUGAACUGCCGUCCAAACGGAAACGACGAACAGCCAAACGGAGAUUAAGGGUUCAGGGUGAUAAUGUGCUCUUGGAUGAAAGUUCAGGAUUGCAAAAAUGGAAACCAGCCAUAGACUGCGCAAUCAAGCAGUCCUUGAUUGCAUUAUUAUUUCUUCGAAAGAGGGAGAAUUAUUUUUGUUCUGUUUCAAUCGACGGUUGUCCCGUUUCUCUGAAAACCGUUUGAGGUUUUUCCUUGGACUUUUUCCGCUUUUUCUUUCGUCUUCCGUCCAGAUUUUUCUCCUGAACACGAGAGAAUGUUUGACGUCGUGUGUUCGGGAACUGAAAGAUAAGAGGUAGAGUUUAAACGGAAAAGUAAUAACACAAUGUCGAGAGUUUAUCCAGAGGAUCGAUCAAAGAAUUGCCCUCAAAGAGGCCUUCAUAUACUUGCCUGCAGAAACGUUACCCAAAUUAGUUGUAUUUUUCAUCUAGUUCAGUUCCAAAUUUAGCUGCACGGACCAAUCAUGUUUCUCUGAUUGGUGUCAAAUAAAUAACAGAGGAGUUGUGAGAUUCACGUGCAGCAUCAAAGGGUCAGACGAGGCAUGCCUGGAAUGACCGAUACUGUCUGGUAUCUCCAGUUUCAUCUGCAGAGGAAUCUUUUCAGCGCCAUUAAAAGAUGUUGGGAGGAGAUGCAAGACGCGCGGCGUUCGAUCGGUUGAUGCACGGAUUAAAAAAACUAAGGAGGAGUGAUGACGGGGGAGAAAGCAGCUGGUUUUCCUAAAUGUAGAGGGAAAGAGGAGAGCUCUGAGGAAGAGGCAGUGAUCCGUCAGUAUCAUCAAGGUUUUGCUUUGUGAUUAUUCGGUGAAAGGAUCAGCGCUGCCAAACGCAGGGAGUGAUGCUUUACAGCUGGGUUGCUUUACAGCCUUGAGUGCAGCAGGUUCAAACAUUUUCAUGUUGCUGCAGCUGCUGCAGCAGCAGUCAGGGUUCAGGAGAAGAGUUGGCAUAUUUUUUUUUAGCAUUCAUUCAUUUUUAAAAUGAAUGUAUCAAGAUAAACAUCCUGCUAACGUUGUGCAUCUUUUAAGCCUGUGUCUGACUCUUGGAUUGUUCUGGUAAAUUACAUAAAAAAAUAACAAAUGAA